RNAcentral lists this long non-coding RNA (540 nucleotides) under Homo sapiens (human). Its description in RNAcentral is "non-protein coding lnc-ARHGEF28-2:1". The record is from RNAcentral. Lineage: Eukaryota; Metazoa; Chordata; Mammalia; Primates; Hominidae.
CACAAAAAUGCCCACAGAAGUUUUAUUCUUAAGAGUCAGAAACUGGAAAUAACUUAAAUAUCCAUCAACAGUACAAUGGAUAAAUAGUGACAUUUAUACAAUGAAAUACUACACAUCAAUAAAAACAUGAACUACUGCUCCAAACAGAUAAAUCUAAAAGACAUUACGUCGAAUGAAAGAAACCAAUAAAAAAAAAGUACAUCCUGUAAGAUUGUAUUUAUAUGAAGUUCAGGAACAGACAAGUUACUCUGCAGUGAUAGAUGUUAGGAUAGAAGUUACUCUCAAGAGUGGCUGGGUGUUGACUGGGAAGGGGCCAAGUGAGCCUUCUGGAGUUUGUGGGAAUGUUUAUAUCUUGAUCUGGGUGGUGGUUGUAUGGGUAUAUACAUUUGCAUGUCAUACCUCAAUUUAAUAAGAGGGCAAAAGAGCUGAUUUGGGAAAUUUAAAGAGAAAUAAAUUUUUGUCUCUUUUUUUCUAACAAUUUAAAUUUUUCUCCAAAGAAUGCAUAUACCUCUGACUGAUUUAGGAAAAGGGCCGCAAACA